AGGAAAAAUUCAUAAUGCAUACUUCUGGGGAUUUUCCAUAUUGAUGGAAGAAAAUGUUUGGGAUACCUAAGUGAAUCCAUUGAAGAUUGUGUCUGUUUAUUAGUCUUGGUGCAGAGGGGGAAUUGCUGUACUUUGGAGCUGGGAAAGGAUCUUUCAGAUGACGAUGAAGGUAUGGAGAGCCAUGAUGGUUUGUGAGUGGUCUGAUCAGGUGGUGAUUCGGAAGGAUAAUUGGAGGUGGUGA
Myotis myotis is the source of this 241-nucleotide long non-coding RNA. RefSeq lists it as uncharacterized. NCBI's taxonomy places the organism in Eukaryota, Metazoa, Chordata, Mammalia, Chiroptera, Vespertilionidae. The record is from RefSeq and is a predicted model, not a curated record. The transcript has 3 exons.